CAUUGACUUGGGAUGUUGGGAUUGUUGGUACAAUCUUAUCUUGAUAACUGUUAGAAUAUGACUUUCUGAGAACUGUUUUUGCAAGGCUUAAGUUUUGUCGGUUAGUCAAGGUUCAUAAAGUGGGGAAAGAGAAGUAUUAAAGGCCAGGAGGAAACUGAGGACCCUCUAUCAUGUUUGUUUUAGCCCAAUUACGGUGGUAGCCGGGCUUUCUAGCUACACACACACACACACACACACACACACACAGAGCUUUUUAUAAAAACGGGUUGAAUGAAUGAAUGAGUAUAUGUUUUCUAGUCUUAGCCCUUCUCCAAACACUAGUCUUGGUGCCUAUCAUUUACCAGUACAUACAAGGACCAGACACAACAUUUUCUUCAUUCUUUUUUGACAUCUGCCUUAUAUUGUUUAUCUGUAUACUUAUGUCGUCUACGUGUGAGACCAUAUUUGAAUCUCUCCUUUCUCAAUUCUAUGACCAAUCCCCCACCCUACCCACAUUAUAAGUUCUUUAAUGAGAGGAACUAUGUCUUAUUUUUAACUCAGCAGAAUAUCACGUAUUAUCACUAAUAAUUUUAAUUGGAUUAUAACCAGAAGCAUUCAUUUUUAAUAGCAAAAGUUUCUUUAAUUGCUUAAAGUAGGUUAGUUUUGUAUUUUCAACAAAGGCAAAAUAUCUUUAAUUGUAGGUACAAUGUCUUUUUCUAUGUCCUCAAGACUUUGUACCAUCUUGGCCAUAUAAUGGAACAUUCAGAAUUACUUUUCAAAUCAUUAACUUUGAUUUCCCAGGUAUAUAAAUUAUUUUUGAGUAGUAUUUUGAACACUGAAGAAUUUCACUUAUUUGGCAUCUGGAUUUGUUUGACAGAUAAUUUAAAGAGUCUUAUAAUUAUAAAAUAUGAUCAUUUAUUGAGACAGAUGUACAUAUGGUGCACCUUUUGAAAUUAAAUGAAAAGUGCCUGAGUCUAACAUCUGUGUUGAAGGCAUCAUCACAGCACGUCUCCCAGAAACCAUUUGAUACUGUCAUUGCUUCCACUAGAAAGAAUAUUCUACCGUGUCUGUUCUAUAAAAGUUUGUUAUUUUAUUUCAGAGAUAUAUCUUUAUAGUUUUGGCUUUAUGUUACAAUUGUAAGUGCCCUUUACCGCCAUGAGUUUAUUAGGUUCAAUUAUAUAUUAUGUUAGGAUAUAGACUAAGCUGCUACAACAAAAUAUUCCAACACACAAGGGCUUAAAUCUAAAUUUAUUUUUCUCGUAUGUAAUAGGCAGAAGCGAGCAGUGCAGGUUUGUUGAGGAGGCUCUGGUUUCCUAGGUCAUUCAGGGACCCAGUCUCAUUCCUUCCAUGGUACACCAUCAUCCCCUAGUGUGUUGUACUUGUCUAUUUUGUCAAAGCUGGCCCACCCUUUGUCCACAAUCUAGCUGAAAAAAAAUUGAGAAUUGCUUUUUUUGUUUGUUUAUUUUUGCUUUUUUUUUGUUUUGUCUUUUGUCCUUUUAGGGCUGCACCCACGGCAUAUGGAGGUUCCCAGGCUAGGGGUCUAAUUGGAGCUGUUGCUGCGGGCCUACACCACAGUCAUAGCAACGCCACAUCCCAGCCAUGUCUGUGACCUACACCACAGCUCAUGGCAAUGCCAGAUCCUUAACCCCCUGAGCGAGGCCAGGGAUUGAACCCGCAACCCCAUGGUUCCUACUCAGAUUUGUUUCUGCUGUGCCAUGAUGGGAACUCCAAAGAUCAUUGUUUUUAGGGAGACAACUUAGAAGUUACUUAACAUAAAUUCCUCUCCCAUCCUGUUGGCCAAACUUAGACACAAUGCUAUGCUUAGCUGCAAACAAGCAAACAAACAGCCAAACCAAAACCAAAAUCAAAACCAAAAAACCUGGGUGUAUAUCUAUAAGCUUCAUGAAGAGUCAACCCGCUAAAACCCCAACAAUUCUGUUAUUAAAAUUUACUAUAGGGAACAGAUAUCAGUGGACAGUCUGACUCAGUCUGUUUCUCUGGCCCCUCCACGAUUGCCUGCUUCCCACAGGUAGACCACACUCUUUCCAAAUGGGGCAGUCAACAUUCCAUUCAACAUUUAGGUUAUUCCAUCUACGUAAAAAUCGAGACCAAACUAAGUGGUGCGUCUUUCUCCUUGUCAAGUGUGAACUUGGCCCUUUGCCAUCUAAACUAACUCAUCAUGUGAAAGUGACGUGUGUCUCUGACACCCAUUAUACCAAGGUGGAUCUGGAACAGAGUAACCAUGAUAAUUGCCUAUUAGUGAAGUAGGAAGAAUGGGAGCAGUCACUGCUCCAUAGCCACGACAAAAAUAUGAUAUGAAUAAUUUUAAGAUACUUACUCUAGUCCUCGAGUAAAUGGUUCAGCUAGACCUUUGUCUGGAUCUCUGGGGGGAAAUUUCUGGUCUAUUUUCCUUAAAAUAUCCUGACUCUUCUCUCUGGGGUAGGGUUGGGAAUUUUUUUAUGUCCCUUACUUUGUGUGUGUGUGUGUGUGUGUGUGUGCAAUGCAACUAAAAUGGAAUUUGAGAGUACACUCUUCAUGAGCACUGUUUUAAGGGCAAUUAUGGGCUUCUAAUAAAUUCAUGUAAAAGUCACCACACUCAGGUUAUUUGAUGAAGACUCCUUAAGUCUCUCACGUAUUUAUUUUUACUGUAUCUAUGCUUGAACUCUCCUUCUUCCUUUCAAUUUAAUACUAGCUAGUGUAAGGUCUUAAAAUACAGGCAUCGAAUACUUAGUUAAUUUGGCCUUUGUCCCUGGCUACAUUCAAUGUUUGACUAAAAAGUUUGAUUUUCAGAAGGAAUUUAAAGAAAGGUUUUGCUGUUUAGAGCACAAAAGCUAUUCACUUGCCAGCCCUGUGUGGUCAUACACCUCUCUGUCAGAACAGAUAGAAUGCCAAAGGCAAAAAAUGUCUCCAUUAAGGAGUCUCCUUUCUUUAAUCUUGAGUUUCACACUGGCCUAUUCAUACAUGAGCUCCUUUUUUUCUUAUAGGAUUUUCUGAAAGAACAUCCCUCAUAAAUAUUCUGAGUUUUCCAGAGCACUAAUAGGCUCAGCCAGUAUGUUGUCUGCCUUUCAGUUUUUCCCAGGUUGUGUCUUAGUUUGGAGUGCUAUAGUAGGACAACAUAAACUAGGUAGCUUAAACAAUCAGUUUAUAUUCCUCACAGUUCUAGAGACUAGAGAUCUGAGACCAGGGUGCUAGCAUGGUCGGGUGCUAGUGAGAGACCUGUUCUUGGUUUGCAGAUGGUUCUCUUCCUGUAUCUUCCUAGAGCAGAGAGAGAGCAUCUUUCUUGUGUCUCCUUUUAUAAGGGAACUAAUCCAAUCCACGAAGCCUCCAUCACCAUGAUUUAAUUAGCCCUUGAAGGCCUCACCUCCAAAUACCAUCACACUGGGAAUCAGGGCUUCAGCACAUUAAUUUUCAGGGGAUACAAAUAUUCAAUCCGUUGCAGACUGUAUUUUUUUAUAAUGGUUUUCUUGGCAAUAAAGUAGAUCACUAACUUCUCAAGAGUCAAUAUUUAUUUCCUCAUCAUCAUUUACCUAUUUGUUAAACAAAAAACACAGAUUUUGAGUACUUAUUAUUUUAAUAUCUCACAUCUCAUGCCAAAUUUUUACUUGAGAUGAGGUACAAGGUAAAUCUCUAUAACAGAUGACCUCAAAUGAUUGUUACUUUAAAUUAUAUUGACAUUUAUUUUCUCAUAUUCUAUCAGAGGAGAGAGGUCAAGGCUGCUAGAAUAGGUCUACUACAGAGAAUAAUUUAUGAAUAUAGGUUUGCUCAUAGGAUAAUAUUCUCGUUGAUGGUAGGGCAUAUUGUUCACUUCUAUGUGGAUUGGAGGCAGAAAAAAGAGAACAUUCAGAGUAAACGACUCUGAAGACAUUGUCUUUGAAGUUGCACCUGUCUCUUGUACUCACAGCCCAUUGGAUCCAAACUUAAUCCCAUGGUUAUACAUAGCUGCUAUGAAGAUGGGAAACCAAGUGAGUAGUAGGGAGUCCCAACUCUGUGUGAGCCAAACUAACAGGGUUCUAUUAUCUAUAAAAAGGAAGAAAGCAAAGAAAAUAAAAGCAUUCUUGAGGACAUUUAGCAACAUAAAAUAUUAAUUUUAAAAGAGUUUUAUUGUAUUUAAUUUCAAAGAUUUUUUUAUCUUUUACUAAGGAUCAGUUUUGUCCUAUGUUUCAGAAUUGAAGCAUUAAUAACAAAUAUCUCUUGGUAGUUACUAGAAGUAGGACAUAGAAAAAUUUUCCCUCCUCUUGGAAUAUCAAAAACAUAAUCAAAUAGAUAAUUCUUAAAAUCUGGAGGAAAUAGCCCUAUCAUAGCACUAAAACAUUUUUCUCUAUGAAUUCUUAAAAAUAUUCAGUUUUAUAGGAAUACAAUAUCUGUUAACUGAGUUUGACUAUUUUUCUAAAGCAAUUUAUUUGGGUCACUGCACUUUUUAUACUACUCUUUGAUGUAUUCUCUACAGAAUUCUCGAUUGACUGCAAAAAUGAUUAACAGUAGGCUCCCCUGCUGUUCAACUCAGUCAUUCAUGACUUUACCAGAUGGUUUUGCUUUUGGGGCCAAUGAUUUUUUUUUUUAUAUUGUUUCCCCUCCCCUGGAUAGAGUCAAGAUCCAAAAUAUGACAUUCAUUUAAAUUUCAUGACUUUAGUAGAAAAUAUUAUGCAGGU
RNAcentral lists this long non-coding RNA (4628 nucleotides) under Sus scrofa (pig). RNAcentral describes it as "lncRNA (ENSSSCG00000061503.1)". Lineage: Eukaryota; Metazoa; Chordata; Mammalia; Artiodactyla; Suidae. The record is from RNAcentral.